GACGAACCAUGCAAACGUUAUUCGGAAUUACUGGGCUUAAAGCGUGCGUAGGCGGCUCAGAAAGUUGGGUGUGAAAGCCCUCGGCUCAACCGAGGAAUUGCGCCCAAAACUACUGGGCUUGAGGGAGUUAGAGGUGAGCGGAACUCACGGUGGAGCGGUGAAAUGCGCAGAUAUCAGGAGGAACACCGGUGGCGAAGGCGGGUCUCUGGGCCGAUACUGACGCUGAGGAGCGAAAGCGUGGGGAGCGAACAGG
Molecule: ribosomal RNA, 253 nt
Filed under: uncultured bacterium
Lineage: Bacteria
Description: partial 16S ribosomal RNA
Rfam family: Bacterial small subunit ribosomal RNA
Source: RNAcentral